Molecule: RNA transcript, 3339 nt
Organism: Egretta garzetta (little egret)
Lineage: Eukaryota; Metazoa; Chordata; Aves; Pelecaniformes; Ardeidae
Gene: EIPR1
Gene name: EARP complex and GARP complex interacting protein 1
Exons: 10
Source: RefSeq, a predicted model, not a curated record
UGAAUCGGGAUAUAGGGAAUAGAUCAGAGAGGGGAUGUACAGAAAGCCAAAAUAAAGUGAAACAAGUCUAAGUGAUGUUACUCUGGAGAAUUUUGAACAGCAAGAGGGUCAUUCUCCAAGUUGGACAGGAAGGUGAUUAUGCAGUUGAUAGGGCAGAUGGGUGAUGCCUGUAGAUUUCUAGGUUCAGGGCAACAAAUGAAGUCUGAAAAGACAACUUGCUGAUCAGCUGCAGAGGUGCUUGUAUGCCUUGGAUGACAGAGUGGAAGAACAAUACAGGUGAUGAGAGUCCAGCAUGAUAUUUGAAAGAGGAGUUGCUGAUGACAGUGUUUGGAAGAGAAAGAAAAAGAUUCACAUCAUAGAUUUUGAUGAUGAAAAUAACAUUAUAAACAAAAACGUUCUCCUUCAUCAAGUGGGUGAAAUUUGGCACAUUAGUACCAGUCCUGCAGAUAAAGGUGUACUGGCAACCUGCUACAAUAAAACUUCAGACAGUAAAGUCAUGACAUGUGCUGCUGUUUGGAGGAUGCCGAAGGAAUUGGAAUCAGGCAGUCAUGAAUCCCCUGAUGAUUCAUCAAGCAACACUCAAACCCUGGAGCUACUCUGUCACCUUGACAACACAGCCCAUGGCAAUAUGGCCUGUGUUAUGUGGGAACCAAUGGGAGAUGGUAAAAAGAUUAUUUCGCUGGCUGAUAACAACAUAUUAUUGUGGGAUUUGCAGGAAAGUUCAGCCAAAGCUGUGCUCUCUAGUUCUGCAGCCUUGGAAGGGAAAGGGCAAUUAAAAUUUACUUCUGGAAGAUGGAGUCCACACCACAAUUGUACACAGAUUGCAACAGCCAAUGAUACCACUGUUCGAGGAUGGGAUACACGAAGCAUGAGACAGAUAUAUUGCAUAGAAAAUGCACAUGGACAGCUGGUACGAGACCUAGACUUUAAUCCCAAUAAACAGUACUACCUGGCUAGCUGUGGAGAUGACUGCAAGGUGAAAUUCUGGGACACAAGAAAUGUCACUGAACCAGUGAAGACGCUAGAGGAGCAUUCCCACUGGGUCUGGAAUGUCAGAUACAAUCAUUCUCAUGAUCAGCUGAUCCUUACAGGAAGCAGUGAUAGCAGAGUUAUCCUGUCUAAUAUGGUAUCAAUUUCUUCCGAACCAUUUGGGCAUAUGGUAGAUGAUGAUGAACUAAGUGACCAAGAGGACCAGCAUCAAGAAGAGAAGAUUAAAGAGCCCCUUCAGGACAGUGUAAUAGCUACCUAUGAAGAACAUGAAGAUAGUGUAUAUGCAGUUGAAUGGUCCUCAGCAGACCCGUGGCUAUUUGCCUCUUUAAGUUAUGAUGGGAGACUUGUUAUUAACAGGGUUCCCAGAGCUCUUAAAUAUCACAUACUGUUAUAAUUUGUUUGGAUUAUGGUGGUGGUGUUAUCCUGAUGUACACAAUUGAGUCUCAGUAUUAUUUUGGGAAACGACCUUGUUGCAGAACACUCCUUGGCAGUAAGACUGCGGAGGCAAGCUGAUUUCUGUACAGCAAGGAGUCCACCACUGCUUCGGAAAUUCAAAUCAUGGUUUAUACAGUCACGUAUCAGCAUUGGGGAUAUGAAGAAAGUGCUUAAAACUUUGUCGUGGAGCCUAUGGUAUGAAUGCCAUUCUGAGACUGCAGAAAGCCUGUGAUUUCCGGAAUAGCAAGUGAAGUGACUGAGAGAAAAGUGCAAAUCAGUUUUUAGAGAAGCCUGGCUUUCCCAUAAAGGGAGCUGCUGGGUGUGAAGCCGUGGAUACUCUCCAGAACAAUUUGCACAUUGCUCCUGCUCAUUCCACCUGCCUCUCUGGUGGAGGUGAGGUGAGGAACUAGCGAAGUGAGAGGAAAAUGACACGCAAGGAUUUAGAGAAAAAGACAAAAGGAGAAGGAAAAAGUAAAAGGAAGACUGACAAAUACAGAGUGAAAAGUGAACUGAAAAAGACAAAAUCAGGGAAAGAUCGGUCUGGAAAAACAGCAAGAGGAAAGAGGGAAGAAACUGGCAAGAAAUGAAAUAAAGAGAAAGAUACAGGAAUAAGCAGUAAAAAAAUGGAGAAGAAUUGUUCUUUGCUUGUUUUAGUUAUGAUACUAAGGGUCCUUAAUCUUCCUGUUAUUCUCCCUGUGUAACUGAUUUUAGUGCUAGAGAAUUGCUGGUUUACAUCGCAGCAUUUUAGUUCUGAUAUUGGAGAUGGUUCAUGCAGGAUUGUUGCUAUCAAGUUUGGCAUAAAGAAACAUGUUCUUGUUGAUCCAUAAGUUAUUAGUCCUAACUCAUGGGUUUUAAGGGUUUAAGAUUUUCAGCUGGUUAUUACUCUUUUCAGGGGUCAGGUUGCAACUGCAUGUGUGAGCAGCUGUAGUCUUGUUUCAGUGCAAAAUUAUCACAUUGGGUAGUCAACCCAAGGGAGCAGUACCCUGAGAGGCAGGAAGAAAAUUUCAAGUGGGCUGUUUCUUGAGUCACACCAGUUAGAUCUGCAAAAGCUUCUGUUUAUGAGAGACACUGUUUAUCCCCCUGUUUAUGACUUCAGGGGAGUGUCCUAGUGAGAACAGCUCAAGAUACUAGAUGCGAUUAAUAAAGUAUGUAAGGUGCAUCCUCCCUUCCACACUGACUUCCCUUACAGCAAAAGAAUUUUGAGUUGUUCUUGAGAAAAUUCCCCAUUUUGAUGCUACAGUUUUCAGUGCUACAGCAGCCCCAACUUCAUAAAGGGGUUUUAGUGCUCCAGCACAGAAGAUAGCUUUGGGGAGAAAGAGAUGAAUGAGUCUUACUAAAUCCAGGAGCCAAGCUCCCUGUGUGGAGACGCAUGGCAAAUAUGUGGGUUGCUGUUGCCCUGGAGCUAUAGCAACAGCUGCCAAGCAGCUGGGCUGAGCAGGGAGGACCUCUAAUGUACCUUCUCAGCAAAUUGUCCAUUUAUUCUGAUGCUGCCCCGAGUUCAGGAUUUUGGCAGGAGAAACUAUGGAAAAGCUUUUAAACAGAAUGAAUUUAGAAGAGUAUGGGAAACCUUGGAAGACCCAAAGAUACCACAUACUAGUCAGCAAGUCUAGAUGAGCUGAAUCCUGGGGUGGUAAUAGACUUGGCAGACAAAUUCUCUGAACCACUGCCAGUUUCUAAAAAUUUGCUUAGGACUGAGAUGAUAAGAAAGACUGGAAAAUAGCAGAAAUGGUAUUGACAUUUGGAGGUAUGUGGAACAGCAGUGCACGGAGUUGGAUAAGGAAACGUGUUUCAGAGUGAGGAAAGUUUAGCCAAAUUAUGAAUGGUUUAUUUGGGGGUUUUUUACUUAGGGUUUUUUUUAUAAACACUAGUCAAAACACUAGCAAGUAUCAGAAAUUGUGAUCGCAUCCAUGAAAC